UCUCACUUAAGCGACGCAGACUCUCGCUUAAGCGAGAGUUCGUGCAAUGGAGACCCUCUCUUGCCGCCGUUCUCGCCCAAGCGAGCUCAGAUGCUGCCAAUCUCGCCUAAG
Vigna unguiculata (cowpea) is the source of this 111-nucleotide long non-coding RNA. The record is from RefSeq and is a predicted model, not a curated record. NCBI's taxonomy places the organism in Eukaryota, Viridiplantae, Streptophyta, Magnoliopsida, Fabales, Fabaceae.